GAUGAACGCUGGCGGCGUGCCUAAUACAUGCAAGUCGAGCGAACAGACGAGGAGCUUGCUCCUCUGACGUUAGCGGCGGACGGGUGAGUAACACGUGGAUAACCUACCUAUAAGACUGGGAUAACUUCGGGAAACCGGAGCUAAUACCGGAUAACAUGAUGAACCGCAUGGUUUAACAGUGAAAGACGGUCUUGCUGUCACUUAUAGAUGGAUCCGCGCCGCAUUAGCUAGUUGGUAAGGUAACGGCUUACCAAGGCAACGAUGCGUAGCCGACCUGAGAGGGUGAUCGGCCACACUGGAACUGAGACACGGUCCAGACUCCUACGGGAGGCAGCAGUAGGGAAUCUUCCGCAAUGGGCGAAAGCCUGACGGAGCAACGCCGCGUGAGUGAAGAAGGUCUUCGGAUCGUAAAACUCUGUUAUUAGGGAAGAACAAAUGUGUAAGUAACUAUGCACGUCUUGACGGUACCUAAUCAGAAAGCCACGGCUAACUACGUG
RNAcentral lists this ribosomal RNA (497 nucleotides) under uncultured bacterium. RNAcentral's name for it is "partial 16S ribosomal RNA". It matches the Rfam family "Bacterial small subunit ribosomal RNA", at positions 28 to 507 of the family's 1533-position model. The record is from RNAcentral.